Molecule: transfer RNA, 77 nt
Filed under: Gammaproteobacteria bacterium
Lineage: Bacteria; Pseudomonadati; Pseudomonadota; Gammaproteobacteria
Description: tRNA-Val
Rfam family: tRNA
About the family: Transfer RNA (tRNA) molecules are approximately 80 nucleotides in length. Their secondary structure includes four short double-helical elements and three loops (D, anti-codon, and T loops).
Source: RNAcentral
GGGUGAUUAGCUCAGCUGGUUAGAGCGCCGCCCUUACAAGGCGGAGGUCGUAAGUUCGACUCUUACAGUACCCACCA